This 77-nucleotide microRNA precursor is filed under the name Brassica rapa (field mustard). RNAcentral describes it as "pre miRNA mir-286". The record is from RNAcentral. Lineage: Eukaryota; Viridiplantae; Streptophyta; Magnoliopsida; Brassicales; Brassicaceae.
ACGUAGCGACCGAGCGAUCGUCCCGCUCGGUCGCUACGUAGCGACCGAGCGGGACGAUCGCUCGGUCGCUACGUAGC